This 789-nucleotide long non-coding RNA is filed under the name Olea europaea subsp. europaea. Lineage: Eukaryota; Viridiplantae; Streptophyta; Magnoliopsida; Lamiales; Oleaceae. The record is from RNAcentral.
UCCAUAAUUAAAAAAUCCUUACACAAAUGGGUGUGGCAAUGUUGGGACAUAAAACAAUGAAACAAGAAAAUGGAUGGUGUUUCCUUUCGAGCACUCUCACUUGCGUUCAACCAUGGGAAUUACUAUGUCGAUAUGCCAGCUUUUAGACUCUCACUCCAAACUUUAAUUUUGAACAUCACAUUGAGGACUUCUGUGAAGGGCUGUAGUGCUUAGAUGAGUACUGGUGUUGCAGCCUCUUCACCUCAUUCGCAUGUUUAUGUUUGAGUAUACGGUAUACCAUGGUAAAAAGCCGUUUAAAGAUCCUAUCUGAGCUUAAACGUGUAAAAGUGGACAACUAGAUUCUGAUGGUGUAUUGUUGUGGAAAGUAUGUUAUAAAAAAAUGAGAUUGAAAUGUUCUCUCUCUUUUUGAUUCAUAUCUUCGUGAUUUAUUUUAAAGAAGAUUUUUUUUUUCGUUGACUCUUUCAAUUUGGAAUAUAGGUGGAUGAAACUAUCAGAUACUGAGCUUCUUCCUGAGGAUGUUAUCUCAAUUGGCUGUUCUACUAAUCAAAGUGGAGAAGACAACUCUGUACUUGCAGAUAGGGAAUGUUAUCAUUAAUGAAGCUAUUUCAACUGGCAAGUAAACCCUUCAAUGGAAGGUGGUAUUCUAUUCUUUUUUUUUCUUCAUUUCAUUUUCUUUUAGAAUAAAAGUUCCCAUCAUUAUCCACGACUUCUAAAAUUCUUGGUGUUAUGAUAAAUUCCAUGUGUCUUAUAUGGAAAAAUUGAUAUGAUAUUUUCUUGAUUACAUCAUAU